UUUGGAUAGUGUAAACAUCAAAAAACUAUUUAAAAUAUAAAGCUUUGUAAGAAGUAUAAAUUAUAUUGUAUAAUUCAUCAUAUCAGCCCAUAUAAUUCUAGAUUGAUUGAUUGAUUGUUAAAAAAAAAAAAAAUUCUAGAUUGAUCAUCACAUUUUUAAUGGGCUUCGGCAAAAUGAAGUCAAGAAAGUUUGGCUGAGAUUUUAUUUAAUUUUUCUAAUAAUUAAGAUUGAGUGGCACAAGUUGUUAAUUAUUAAAGAAAAUUGAGUUAAGUAUUUGUUGUAUUUCAGUUUUAACAUAUUAGAUUCCUACAUAAAAACCCUAACAUUUAAAAACCAUUAAAUUAAAGCUUUAGUUAAUAUGUUGAGAGGUUGACAAAAAAAAUUAAUAUGUUGAGAGAGACAGAGAUAUUUAAUUAGAUGAGAGAUUAAAUCAACGGUUGGAAAUCAAUGAUGAGAGGAGAGAUAGCGCGUGGGAUAUGAGUUGAUGGCAACCCUACAAUGAAUGAUAUUCAACACGUGUCGAUUCCUGGAUGGUAAGCUUUGAUAAAUCCACCUGAUUUUUAUUUAUUUUAAUUGUUUUACUUUUCUAAUCGAGUUCAUGGAAUCAUGUGACCUAACCUUAAGUAGGUGAAGGCCCGUACGAUUUUCUCAACUUACUGAACUACCCCUGUGAUUGGUGAAUAUGUAGAGUAAACAUACACUUUUUGUGUUUCGUUAAUGGUGUGAUGAUAUCUAAAUUCUUACUGUUAGACUUGUUAUCUUUUUCCCCAUUUAU
This 775-nucleotide long non-coding RNA is filed under the name Brassica rapa (field mustard). RNAcentral describes it as "long non-coding RNA (BRAP_LNC005172)". The record is from RNAcentral. Lineage: Eukaryota; Viridiplantae; Streptophyta; Magnoliopsida; Brassicales; Brassicaceae.